RNAcentral lists this ribosomal RNA (247 nucleotides) under uncultured Neisseriaceae bacterium. RNAcentral describes it as "partial 16S ribosomal RNA". It matches the Rfam family "Bacterial small subunit ribosomal RNA", at positions 527 to 773 of the family's 1533-position model. Lineage: Bacteria; Pseudomonadati; Pseudomonadota; Betaproteobacteria; Neisseriales; Neisseriaceae. The record is from RNAcentral.
GUAGGGUGCAAGCGUUAAUCGGAAUUACUGGGCGUAAAGCGAGCGCAGACGGUUAUUUAAGUCAGGUGUGAAAUCCCCGAGCUCAACUUGGGAAUGGCGCUUGAAACUGGGUAACUAGAGUGUGUCAGAGGGAGGUAGAAUUCCACGUGUAGCAGUGAAAUGCGUAGAGAUGUGGAGGAAUACCGAUGGCGAAGGCAGCCUCCUGGGAUAACACUGACGUUCAUGCUCGAAAGCGUGGGUAGCAAAC